UCGAGAAUCUUCGGCAAUGGGCGAAAGCCUGACCGAGCGAUGCCGCGUGCGGGAUGAAGGCCUUCGGGUUGUAAACCGCUGUCGUAGGGAGAAAGGGUCGUUGAAGAAACGACUUUGAUCUAUCCUAGGAGGAAGUCCGGGCUAAGUUCGUGCCAGCAGCCGCGGUAACACGAACCGGACAAACGUUAUUCGGAAUUACUGGGCUUAAAGGGUGCGUAGGCGGUGCGGUAAGUGCGGUGUGAAAUCCCACGGCUCAACCGUGGAAUUGCGCUGCAUACUGCCGUGCUAGAGGGAGACAGGGGUAAGCGGAACUGAUGGUGGAGCGGUGAAAUGCGUUGAUAUCAUCAGGAACACCGGUGGCGAAAGCGGCUUACUGGGUCUCUUCUGACGCUGAGGCACGAAAGCUAGGGUAGCGAACGGGAUUAGAUACCCCCGUAGUCCCUGAGCGGGCUGGCAAGGCGCAU
RNAcentral lists this ribosomal RNA (464 nucleotides) under uncultured bacterium. Its description in RNAcentral is "bacterial SSU rRNA". It matches the Rfam family "Bacterial small subunit ribosomal RNA", at positions 355 to 825 of the family's 1533-position model. The record is from RNAcentral.